GGAGAUCAAAAACGAGUCCGUUGAUCUGGAACGGAUUCCCAUAGAGGAAGUGUUUGAGCAGCUGAAAUGUACCAGGGAAGGUCUUACUUCAGAGGAAGGAGCCAAUCGGCUUCAAGUUUUUGGGCCAAACAAACUAGAAGAGAAAAAGGAGAGCAAAAUUCUCAAGUUCUUGGGUUUUAUGUGGAACCCAUUGUCAUGGGUUAUGGAAGCAGCAGCUAUCAUGGCCAUAGCUUUAGCCAAUGGUGAUGGGAGACCUCCUGAUUGGCAGGACUUCGUUGGGAUUGUUGCUUUGUUGUUCAUAAACUCCACAAUCAGUUUCAUCGAAGAAAACAAUGCUGGAAAUGCAGCUGCAGCCCUUAUGGCUGGUCUUGCUCCCAAGACUAAGGUUCUGAGAGAUGGUAGUUGGACUGAGCAAGAAGCUGCAAUUUUGGUCCCAGGGGACAUUAUCAGCAUUAAAUUGGGAGAUAUAAUCCCUGCUGAUGCCCGUCUUCUUGAGGGUGAUCCUUUGAAGGUUGAUCAAUCCGCCCUUACUGGAGAGUCACUUCCUGUUACUAAGAACCCCUCAGAUGAAGUGUUUUCUGGUUCAACAUGUAAACAGGGCGAAAUUGAAGCAGUAGUAAUUGCUACUGGUGUGCAUACCUUCUUUGGUAAGGCUGCCCAUCUGGUGGACAGCACUAAUCAAGUUGGACAUUUCCAAAAAGUUCUAACUGCCAUUGGUAACUUCUGUAUUUGCUCAAUCGCUGUUGGAAUAAUCAUUGAAAUUAUAGUAAUGUAUCCAAUACAGCAUCGCAAGUACAGACAAGGAAUUGACAACCUAUUGGUUCUUUUGAUCGGAGGGAUUCCCAUUGCUAUGCCAACUGUUUUAUCUGUCACCAUGGCUAUUGGUUCACACAGGCUAUCUCAGCAGGGUGCAAUUACAAAGAGAAUGACUGCCAUUGAGGAAAUGGCAGGCAUGGAUGUCCUCUGCAGUGACAAGACUGGAACUCUGACCCUGAACAAGC
RNAcentral lists this unclassified non-coding RNA (1001 nucleotides) under Hevea brasiliensis (rubber tree). The record is from RNAcentral. Lineage: Eukaryota; Viridiplantae; Streptophyta; Magnoliopsida; Malpighiales; Euphorbiaceae.